GACGAACGCUGGCGGCGUGCCUAAUACAUGCAAGUUGAGCGCUGAAGGUUGGUACUUGUACCAACUGGAUGAGCAGCGAACGGGUGAGUAACGCGUGGGGAAUCUGCCUUUGAGCGGGGGACAACAUUUGGAAACGAAUGCUAAUACCGCAUAAAAACUUUAAACACAAGUUUUAAGUUUGAAAGAUGCAAUUGCAUCACUCAAAGAUGAUCCCGCGUUGUAUUAGCUAGUUGGUGAGGUAAAGGCUCACCAAGGCGAUGAUACAUAGCCGACCUGAGAGGGUGAUCGGCCACAUUGGGACUGAGACACGGCCCAAACUCCUACGGGAGGCAGCAGUAGGGAAUCUUCGGCAAUAGACGAAAGUCUGACCGAGCAAGGCCGCGUGAGUGAAGAAGGUUUUCGGAUCGUAAAACUCUGUUGGUAGAGAAGAACGUUGGUGAGAGUGGAAAGCUCAUCAAGUGACGGUAACUACCCAGAAAGGGACGGCUAACUACGUG
RNAcentral lists this ribosomal RNA (497 nucleotides) under uncultured bacterium. RNAcentral describes it as "partial 16S ribosomal RNA". It matches the Rfam family "Bacterial small subunit ribosomal RNA", at positions 28 to 507 of the family's 1533-position model. The record is from RNAcentral.